Molecule: non-coding RNA, 95 nt
Organism: Sphingobacterium nematocida
Lineage: Bacteria; Pseudomonadati; Bacteroidota; Sphingobacteriia; Sphingobacteriales; Sphingobacteriaceae
Source: Rfam
GUAGCGUAUUCAGAAUUGCAAAAAGCAAUACCAACCGAGUGUAGUCACCGCGGUGGUAAAAUAAUACGGGUUCAAAGCCAAAAUAAACGUCAUGA